RNAcentral lists this long non-coding RNA (394 nucleotides) under Setaria italica (foxtail millet). RNAcentral describes it as "long non-coding RNA (SITA_LNC006928)". Lineage: Eukaryota; Viridiplantae; Streptophyta; Magnoliopsida; Poales; Poaceae. The record is from RNAcentral.
GGCGACGAAGUCCUUGAGGCCGACCUCGCCGCCGGGGAAGCCGCCGGUGAGGCCCAGGAGCUCCUUCUCGAAGGCGUCCAGGUCCACCGCUGGUGGGGCGGCCUCCGUCGGCGUGGACCCUGUGGAGGACUCGGGCGAGGAGACGGUGGUGGAAGGAGGAGGGGUGGAGGCGAGUUCCUUGCGGACGCCGACCUCGCCGUUGCAGAGGCCGCGGCCGCCGAGGAUUUCGGAGACGCGGAAGGAGGCGGAGGGAGGCCGGCAGAGCAGGCGCAGGUGAGGGCGGUGGGGUAGCGGUGGCGGGCGGAGGAAGGAGGGCGUGGUGGGCGGCGGCGCCAUUGGAGGAGUGGAGAGGAUCGCCCGCGAGCGGAGCAGAGCAAGGCAAGGGAGGGAAAGA